Molecule: long non-coding RNA, 723 nt
Organism: Gasterosteus aculeatus aculeatus (three-spined stickleback)
Lineage: Eukaryota; Metazoa; Chordata; Actinopteri; Perciformes; Gasterosteidae
Source: Ensembl
AUAAUCCUAUCCAGCUACACCGAACCAACAGAACACUGCGACAGAAAAUAAACAGUUUGAGUUGGUGUAUUUUGGAACUAUGAAGCUACUGGAUUAUGUGACAGGUGACGCAAUGAAAUCACCUGCAGAUGCUUCUUGAUUUGAUCAUCAUGUCUUCUGUUCUCUUCUUCCAAGGACAGGAUAUCACUCUGAGGGAGAAACCUCAUUGAUGUACUUGGUAAGAGUGACAUUUUUCUGCUCCUUCUGGGCAAUCACGAGGCCCAUUUGACACAGCUCCGUCUCCCCGGUGACCUCCACUAGCGUUCUGUAGCCCUGCUUGUACAUCUCCAGGUUCUCAGCGCCAUUCAGGUGUGGUGUUUUGUUCUCUGUGACAACGAAUUUCUGCAGUUGGGCAUUGAUGAGCGUCUCCAGCGCCGACCUUCUCGUCAUGAACUGAGCCGUCUCCACCUUGAGGUCCUCCUCCAACUCCGAAAUGCGGGUCUCGACAUGUAACCUGUAGCGCAACACAAACACACAGCUUAUAUCUCUAUAAACAUCUCUAUAUGUUUCCGAUCUGCCCUUUAACACUUGAAUUACCUCCGGUCGAAAAGGAGGGCAAGAUCCUGCUCCAGUUUCUCUGACAGGAUUUUCUGAUGGGCCAACUGUCUGUUGGACUCACUUUUGCACAGUGAGUCUUUCAUCUGUAGCAGGUGUUCAACUGCUUUACGGUAUUCUGUGUUCCUG